RNAcentral lists this transfer RNA (94 nucleotides) under Virgisporangium aliadipatigenens. Its description in RNAcentral is "tRNA-Leu". Lineage: Bacteria; Bacillati; Actinomycetota; Actinomycetes; Micromonosporales; Micromonosporaceae. The record is from RNAcentral.
UGAUGCUGGACGAGGGCGUGGUCGCCGAGGCCAAGGACAUCGACCUGUGCCUGAUCCUCGGUGCGGGCUGGCCGUUCCACCUGGGCGGCAUCAC